UCUUCCUUAUUAUCAGUCUCUCUAAACUUUUGUUUGGCUCUAAUGGAUGCAUCAAGAGUCUCUGUGUUUGUGCUCCUGAUUGCUGUCCUUAGUCUUGUAUUAAGUUCUCCAGCAGAGCGACAGCAGCGAGGUGAAACUGGCUUGUUGCUAUCACGAGUGAUCAGAGACCACGAAGAUGCUCAUGGUGACCUGCCCCAGCUCAGACUACAGCUCCAGGAUGAGGAAGGUGGCAGUUCAGCUUUUGAACGUUCUGUAGUGGUGAAGGGAGGAACUAAGGGUGUUUGAAGGUGGUGUGAGUCUAAGGGAUGGCGUUCUCUGCAGCUAUUGCCCUGUGCUGUGAACUUGCAGCAGGCCACCAGUACAUGCCAUCUGAAUUGUCAUGUGGGUCUGCAUGGUCACAGGCUCUGGCAAUUGAGUCUACCCUGCAAAUGGUUUCUGAAUAAAUGUUCUCAAACUACU
Molecule: long non-coding RNA, 459 nt
Organism: Electrophorus electricus (electric eel)
Lineage: Eukaryota; Metazoa; Chordata; Actinopteri; Gymnotiformes; Gymnotidae
Source: RefSeq, a predicted model, not a curated record